RNAcentral lists this long non-coding RNA (758 nucleotides) under Chloebia gouldiae (Gouldian finch). Its description in RNAcentral is "Erythrura gouldiae (Gouldian finch) lncRNA (ENSEGOG00005008848.1)". Lineage: Eukaryota; Metazoa; Chordata; Aves; Passeriformes; Passeridae. The record is from RNAcentral.
GUAAAAACUUUCAACUAUUUCUAUUUCUUCUGUGUCAUUUAAGAGGCUUUCAAGGUGCACUGUACCUCUCAGACCAGAUCUUACUCAUAGAGGAAAUCUGAUCUGCUGCAGCACGGAAACAUCAGCAGUGAGAUGGCGCGACAAAAUCCUUAGGGAACUGUCUGUAAGUCUGGUCAACAUUUAAGAUGAAAAGUUUUGCAUUUUCUUUGGCAGGAUGUUACAUGCAGAGUUUAGCUGUAUGAGGCAAUUGCUGAGGCAAUAAGGGAAUAUUCAGGAACACAAGCUUUGAGUAGGUGAGUAAGCACAAAGGCAGAAAUAAUCUUGUUAGGAUUUUUUCUUUCUUCCCUGCCCCACCCCCUAAAUUCUGAAAAACCUUAUUGGUCGUUGAGACUUGCUAAAUCAUGCCCAAUUGAAACCGUGUUCUCCUAGAAUCCUGGAUACACCAAAUAGACCCCACUUUAGGGCUACAAUGGUUCAGCAGUUGAAAGAUGUGAGAAUAAGCCUUUUGUACUUUUGUUGCUUCACCUUGUGACAGUCAAGCAGGGCAGGGAUCAAAGGGAAAUCCCCCUGGGACACAGGCAGUGGUGAGAGAUAGGGUAGGAAACUGGAUAAGUAAGCACUGAAAUGGUGAGGAUGAGACCAAAAAAAAGGCAAACUGGUAGUACAAACUCGGGGUAGAUGACAGAGGGUGGGAUCUGGACAGCAGUUAACAGGAGGAAGAGGGACUUAGGGUUACAUGCUACUGAUGAUGAAAGUGG